CUUUCUUCUUCUCCCACAACUCUAUCUCAUACCAAAAAUACACGAAAGUUACUCAUUAACAUAUUUCUGAGAUAACCCUAUCCCUGCAGAUGGACAUGAAGAUUUCACUCGAUUGUUUUUCGCUUCUUCGAAUAGGGCAAGAAUGAUGAUUUCAUAUCUUUGAUUCAUGCAACAAGAAUUUAGAUUGAUUUUAUACCGUCCCCAAAAGCGAAUUCCGAUUGGUUUCAUUUCUCCCCCAAAUUUCUUCUAGGGAAAGAAGGAAAGAGUUGAUGAUUUCAUCAUCUUCUAAAUCGAGUUCAAUUUUAGCUCGUCUCAUCAAUUCAUCACCAUAAUCACCAGGUGAAUCCAAAGAUGGAUACAUCCCAAAGUCGUUAUGCCACUCGAAGAAGCAUGAUGACCGAAGAACAACGAGCUACUGAACCAGAAAGGUCUAACAUUCGCGGUAGAAAUGGCCGAGAAAACAUGCAGAUGAGGAGAUAUUGCUUCAAAAUGAAUGUAGGAGAAAUCAAUAUAGAGCUAGGCAGAAAAAUGCGGAACAUACAUGUCUUUAUUUGUGUUAUACAUAUGGAUUAGAGGGUUGGAUUCCGUGUUUAUGACUAAAACUACUCGCUGAUUUUUGGACAGGUACGAUGGAUUAAUAGUGAGGCUAUCAUGGAAGAGCAAGGCUAGAUAAAUAACCAUUUUAACUCUUUGUGUGUUUCUUAUUAGGGUAAUGCAGUUCUAACAUGUUUGUGGCGAUUGGGAGGGAGAUUGGAUUUGUAAGUAGCAGCGAGAUGAAGAAACUCUCCUUCCUAUUUGUAAUGAGAACUAAUAAGAACUGUAAUUUUGUGUCAGAUCCUUAUUACACUUUCAUGA
Papaver somniferum (opium poppy) is the source of this 855-nucleotide long non-coding RNA. RefSeq lists it as uncharacterized. The record is from RefSeq and is a predicted model, not a curated record. The transcript has 3 exons. Lineage: Eukaryota; Viridiplantae; Streptophyta; Magnoliopsida; Ranunculales; Papaveraceae.